This 274-nucleotide ribosomal RNA is filed under the name uncultured bacterium. Its description in RNAcentral is "partial 16S ribosomal RNA". It matches the Rfam family "Bacterial small subunit ribosomal RNA", at positions 523 to 796 of the family's 1533-position model. The record is from RNAcentral.
AUACGGAGGGUGCAAGCGUUAAUCGGAAUUACUGGGCGUAAAGCGUACGUAGGCGGUUCGUUAAGUUAGAUGUGAAAGCCCCGGGCUUAACCUGGGAACUGCAUUUAAAACUGGCGGACUAGAGUUGAGUAGAGGGGAGUGGAAUUUCAGGUGUAGCGGUGAAAUGCGUAGAGAUCUGAAGGAACACCAGUGGCGAAGGCGACUCCCUGGACUCGAACUGACGCUGAGGUACGAAAGCGUGGGUAGCAAACGGGAUUAGAAACCCGGGUAGUCC